AAGUCGUAACAAGGUUUCCGUAGGUGAACCUGCGGAAGGAUCAUUAUCACGUAUCCAAACGUUAAAACCCCCCCCGUGAACCUUCAUCCUGCUCUUGUAACCCGCGUAGUUCGCUGAUAAAUCAUAGCCCGGAAAGUUGUAGUGAUUCAGAGACCUCUGGCUACGUGCGAACAUUGGAACAGUUACAAUUGCGCGGUAGUUCUAUAGGCAAUGUUUCCCCAAGCAGUCAGUGUUCCUGUAGACCGUACACUCGGGCAGGAGCUUUGCCAAAGGGUCCCCAUGCCCCCUAAUAACCGCACAGUUUAAUGUGAAGCUCAAUGUAAUACAUUGGGUAAAAAAACCGAACAACUGUUAACAAUGGAUAUCUUGGUUCUC
This 375-nucleotide unclassified non-coding RNA is filed under the name fungal sp. Its description in RNAcentral is "partial internal transcribed spacer region". The stretch from base 1 to 46 matches the Rfam family "Eukaryotic small subunit ribosomal RNA", at positions 1786 to 1831 of the family's 1831-position model. Lineage: Eukaryota; Fungi. The record is from RNAcentral.